GAUAGCAAUGCGUUGCAGAUGGAAGCCAUAGCAAGGAUCUAAACGAGCUAUUGUGGAAGAUGGCGAUGGAAUUUCAAAUAUGGACUUUACAAAACGUGCAAAUGCCAUGGAGAAAAUCCCGCGACUUGCAAAUAACUAGACAGCAGAAUACUACGUGAAAAUACACCCAUCCCAUGUAGAAGAGAGUUUAACACAAAACUCAUUACAUAAAUACAAGUUCAUUGUAACAACAAACUGGUACCAAACAUUAACGAUCCAACAAAACCGCAAAUGCAGCAAGAGGUAAGAUGCCAACGCAUGACGCUUUGUGAGAACGAGCUUGCUUACUACUGAUAUGAUGGAAUUUGCACACAAUUU
Molecule: long non-coding RNA, 357 nt
Organism: Octopus bimaculoides (California two-spot octopus)
Lineage: Eukaryota; Metazoa; Mollusca; Cephalopoda; Octopoda; Octopodidae
Source: RefSeq, a predicted model, not a curated record